This 497-nucleotide ribosomal RNA is filed under the name uncultured bacterium. Its description in RNAcentral is "partial 16S ribosomal RNA". It matches the Rfam family "Bacterial small subunit ribosomal RNA", at positions 28 to 507 of the family's 1533-position model. The record is from RNAcentral.
GAUGAACGCUGGCGGCGUGCCUAAUACAUGCAAGUCGAGCGAACAGAUGAGGAGCUUGCUCCUCGGACGUUAGCGGCGGACGGGUGAGUAACACGUGGAUAACCUACCUAUAAGGCUGGGAUAACUUCGGGAAACCGGAGCUAAUACCGUGUAAUAUAUUGAACCGCAUGGUUCAAUUAUGAAAGACGGUUUUGCUGUUACCUAUUGAUCGAUCCGCGCCGCAUUAGCUAGUUGGUAAGGUAACGGCUUACCAAGGCAACGAUGCGUAGCCGACCUGAGAGGGUGAUCGGCCACACUGGAACUGAGACACGGUCCAGACUCCUACGGGAGGCAGCAGUAGGGAAUCUUCCGCAAUGGGCGGAAGCCUGACGGAGCAACGCCGCGUGAGUGAUGAAGGUCUUCGGAUCGUAAAACUCUGUUAUUAGGGAAGAACAAAUGUGUAAGUAAAUAUGCACGUCUUGACGGUACCUAAUCAGAAAGCCACGGCUAACUACGUG